Molecule: ribosomal RNA, 465 nt
Filed under: Vreelandella stevensii
Lineage: Bacteria; Pseudomonadati; Pseudomonadota; Gammaproteobacteria; Oceanospirillales; Halomonadaceae
Description: partial 16S ribosomal RNA
Rfam family: Bacterial small subunit ribosomal RNA
Source: RNAcentral
CCUACGGUAGGCAGCAGUGGGGAAUAUUGGACAAUGGGCGAAAGCCUGAUCCAGCCAUGCCGCGUGUGUGAAGAAGGCCUUCGGGUUGUAAAGCACUUUCAGUGGGGAAGAAAGCCUUGGGGCUAAUACCCUCGAGGAAGGACAUCACCCACAGAAGAAGCACCGGCUAACUCCGUGCCAGCAGCCGCGGUAAUACGGAGGGUGCGAGCGUUAAUCGGAAUUACUGGGCGUAAAGCGCGCGUAGGCGGUCUGAUAAGCCGGUUGUGAAAGCCCCGGGCUCAACCUGGGAACGGCAUCCGGAACUGUCAGGCUAGAGUGCAGGAGAGGAAGGUAGAAUUCCCGGUGUAGCGGUGAAAUGCGUAGAGAUCGGGAGGAAUACCAGUGGCGAAGGCGGCCUUCUGGACUGACACUGACGCUGAGGUGCGAAAGCGUGGGUAGCAAACAGGAUUAGAUACCCGUGUAGUC